This 530-nucleotide ribosomal RNA is filed under the name uncultured bacterium. RNAcentral describes it as "bacterial SSU rRNA". It matches the Rfam family "Bacterial small subunit ribosomal RNA", at positions 777 to 1312 of the family's 1533-position model. The record is from RNAcentral.
AAUAGAUACCCUGGUAGUCCACGCCGUAAACCGAUGGAUACUAGCUGUUUGAGCGCAAGUUUGAGUGGCUAAGCGAAAGUGAUAAGUAUCCCACCUGGGGAGUACGGGCGCAAGCCUGAAACUCAAAGGAAUUGACGGGGGCCCGCACAAGCGGUGGAGCAUGUGGUUUAAUUCGAUGAUACGCGAGGAACCUUACCAGGGCUUAAAUGUAGAUUGACGUAUUUGGAAACAGAUAUUUCUUCGGACAAUUUACAAGGUGCUGCAUGGUUGUCGUCAGCUCGUGCCGUGAGGUGUCAGGUUAAGUCCUAUAACGAGCGCAACCCCUGUUGUUAGUUGCCAGCGAGUAAUGUCGGGAACUCUAGCAAGACUGCCAGUGUAAACUGUGAGGAAGGUGGGGAUGACGUCAAAUCAUCACGGCCCUUACGUCCUGGGCCACACACGUGCUACAAUGGCCGGUACAGAGAGCAGCCACUUAGCGAUAAGGAACGAAUCUAUAAAGCCGGUCACAGUUCGGAUCGGAGUCUGCAACG